AUGGCGACCGGCGCACGGGUGAGUAACACGUAUCCAACCUGCCGAUAACUCGGGGAUAGCCUUUCGAAAGAAAGAUUAAUACCCGAUGGUAUAAUCAGACCGCAUGGUUUGAUUAUUAAAGAAUUUCGGUUAUCGAUGGGGAUGCGUUCCAUUAGGCAGUUGGUGAGGUAACGGCUCACCAAACCUUCGAUGGAUAGGGGUUCUGAGAGGAAGGUCCCCCACAUUGGAACUGAGACACGAUCCAA
This 245-nucleotide ribosomal RNA is filed under the name uncultured bacterium. RNAcentral describes it as "partial 16S ribosomal RNA". It matches the Rfam family "Bacterial small subunit ribosomal RNA", at positions 88 to 334 of the family's 1533-position model. The record is from RNAcentral.